Molecule: ribosomal RNA, 465 nt
Filed under: uncultured bacterium
Lineage: Bacteria
Description: partial 16S ribosomal RNA
Rfam family: Bacterial small subunit ribosomal RNA
Source: RNAcentral
CCUACGGGAGGCUGCAGUGGGGAAUAUUGCGCAAUGGGCGAAAGCCUGACGCAGCGACGCCGCGUGAGGGAUGAAGGUCUUCGGAUCGUAAACCUCUGUCAGCAGGGAAGAACGGUCACUGUGCUAAUCAGCAGUGAAUUGACGGUACCUGCAAAGGAAGCACCGGCUAACUCCGUGCCAGCAGCCGCGGUAAUACGGAGGGUGCGAGCGUUAAUCGGAAUUACUGGGCGUAAAGCGCUCGUAGGCGGUAUGUCAAGUCAAGGGUGAAAUCCCCGCGCUCAACGUGGGAACUGCCUUUGAAACUGGCAAACUGGGGUGUGUGAGAGGGUAGGGGAAUUCCAGGUGUAGGAGUGAAAUCCGGAGAUAUCUGGAGGAACAUCAGUGGCGAAGGCGACUAUCUGGCACAUAACUGACGCUGAGGAGCGAAAGCGUGGGUAGCAAACAGGAUUAGAUACCCCAGUAGUC